RNAcentral lists this long non-coding RNA (845 nucleotides) under Ficedula albicollis (Collared flycatcher). Its description in RNAcentral is "lncRNA (ENSFALG00000026403.1)". The record is from RNAcentral. Lineage: Eukaryota; Metazoa; Chordata; Aves; Passeriformes; Muscicapidae.
CUGCAGUGAAAUCCUGCAGUCAUUCACACUGAAAGUUAGUCAGCUUUUCUUUGUUUUCAGUUUGGAACUGUCAUAUCCAAGAGGAAAAAAAGGAAGGAUUUGACUAUAUUUAUCCCACAUUUUCUGGGUAGCUGGAGAGUGGUGGAUGGUCUGGGUAAGCAGGUCCUGCAUGGGCAUAAAUUGCCAUUUUAUUUUCCAUAAUUGGAAAUAAAUGUUGUAGGAGUCCAGCCCAGCCAAAAUGCAAGAUGUAGGUCUCGAGAUGGAACUGUUUCCCUCUUGAGUGCUUACUUUAGGAACGGCUUAGAUCUCUCCAGUGGGAAUGUCAGCUGCAAUUUUUGAAAGCUUUAGUUCUUCACCUUGUCUCAAUUUGUUGUGCUUUUCAUGACCAGACAGAAUGCAGGAGACGUUUUGGCCACGUAAGAAGCCUUAAGGUCUUCAGAGGAAGAUGCUAAGGGAAGUGGUGAAAUGACAACUCCUGUCUCUUCUCCUUAAUCCUGUCAGCCUUGGGAUAUCAACAUGGACUGCUGAGAUGGGAGCAUCAUCCUGAUUUGGAGCUCCAGUCCAGGAUCAGCUUCAGCCCGUGUCUCCAACCCUGCAAGAUGCUGGAGCCAGCAUGGCCUUGAAACACACCUGCCCCAGGCCAGCCACUGGGAAAGGGGGCUGGAAGGUGCCUUCAGCCAGGCCUGGAUGCUGAGAGAGGUUUCAGUCUGCAGGGAGGAACAGUGAGGUGUGACAGGGCUGGCUUCGUGCAGCUCAUUACGCUCCCGUCGCUGAUUUCUAAACGGAGUCCUGGCGCUGAGACAGACCAGCUGUGCAAUGAAACAUUUGUGAAUAUCCAGGAAUGA